RNAcentral lists this transfer RNA (69 nucleotides) under Leiodidae sp. BMNH 1274324. Its description in RNAcentral is "tRNA-Gln". The record is from RNAcentral. Lineage: Eukaryota; Metazoa; Arthropoda; Insecta; Coleoptera; Leiodidae.
UAUAUUUUAAUAUAAGAUGUAUAAAGAAGUUUGAUUUCUUAAGAAAUAGUUUGAUUCUAUUAAAUAUAA